Transfer RNA from Ovis aries (sheep), 72 nucleotides. It matches the Rfam family "tRNA". Rfam says of the family: Transfer RNA (tRNA) molecules are approximately 80 nucleotides in length. Their secondary structure includes four short double-helical elements and three loops (D, anti-codon, and T loops). Further hydrogen bonds mediate the characteristic L-shaped molecular structure. tRNAs have two regions of fundamental functional importance: the anti-codon, which is responsible for specific mRNA codon recognition, and the 3' end, to which the tRNAs corresponding amino acid is attached (by aminoacyl-tRNA synthetases). tRNAs cope with the degeneracy of the genetic code in two manners: having more than one tRNA (with a specific anti-codon) for a particular amino acid; and 'wobble' base-pairing, i.e. permitting non-standard base-pairing at the 3rd anti-codon position. The record is from Rfam. NCBI's taxonomy places the organism in Eukaryota, Metazoa, Chordata, Mammalia, Artiodactyla, Bovidae.
UCUCUAGUGGCUCAGAGGAUAAAGCGUCUGCCUGCAAUGCAGGACACCUGGGUUCGAUCCCUGGGUUGGGAA